Molecule: long non-coding RNA, 105 nt
Organism: Nanorana parkeri
Lineage: Eukaryota; Metazoa; Chordata; Amphibia; Anura; Dicroglossidae
Exons: 3
Source: RefSeq, a predicted model, not a curated record
UUCUUUUUUAAGAACGUAACAUGGAAAGUGAACAAACAUGAAAAAGGAAACAAAACAGGUUUGAAAAUGUACAACAGUUGGAACACGUUAGUUUAUUCAGCUUCU